RNAcentral lists this ribosomal RNA (33 nucleotides) under Claviceps cynodontis. Its description in RNAcentral is "partial 28S ribosomal RNA". Lineage: Eukaryota; Fungi; Ascomycota; Sordariomycetes; Hypocreales; Clavicipitaceae. The record is from RNAcentral.
UUGACCUCGAAUCANGUAGGAAUACCCGCUGAA